This 9846-nucleotide long non-coding RNA is filed under the name Gossypium barbadense (sea-island cotton). RNAcentral describes it as "long non-coding RNA (GBAR_LNC007826)". The record is from RNAcentral. Lineage: Eukaryota; Viridiplantae; Streptophyta; Magnoliopsida; Malvales; Malvaceae.
UUUUAUAGCAUUUGGGCUUCCGGUUCUUCUAACCGUUUUGCUUUUAUCCAAUGUACCUAGUAUUCUUCUCAUCCCGCUGUAUUAUCUAUCCGUCUCCUACUUCAACUGCAUGACAAUAAUAUCUCCUUCCACGUUUUGGGCAAACCUCAACUUUGUUGUCAUGUGGACAGCCAUUAUUCUCCCGUUGCUCAUAGUUUUUAGAAGUGUAUGGUUAUCGAAGCGGCCAAAGUACAGGGAAAUCAGACAAUUACGCAGACUUUUCCACAAAUAGAAUAAUGUUGGAAUCACUCAAUGGUUGCGAAUGUCAAUGUAGUUUACAUGUUCUCUUAUGUUAUGUACUCUUUUUCCAUUUUCUCUGGAUUAAUAUCUUUUCUCUUGGGUAAAAAAAUUAUGUAAUUGCUUUGGAUAAAUUUAAUAAAUAAGAGUAAUUUUCCCAACAGAUAUCUUUGUCCUUUGCAACGAAAAGAAAAAACAAAGAAAAGCCAACCAUCCUAUUUUCUAAUUUUAAAAAAUAAUUUCCUGUUUCUGAAAAUAUCGAUUCUUUUUUUUUAAAGAUGUUUUCAAAAUAUUAUUCAGUCAAAGUUAAUGAAUUUCUCAACAAAUCGAUAAUGUUGUGGAAUUUGUUGCGGAAAGGAUCGAUUCGAGAACUCCGAUAUGACUACAAGUAAAUUGACCGAAACGAAAAAAUAAAGUGAACACAAGGAUUUACGUGGUUCGGCUUUAAUGCCUACGUCCACGGGCAGAGGCGAAAAGAAAUUUCACUAUAACAAGAUGAAGAUUACAAGUGUUUUACACUCAAGACACAACCCGAGAACCUCACAACUCUCAACCCCUAUAGAAAACCCGAAAGCUAAAAUCCUAGCUUUCAAAGAACAAGCUUUGCUCUCUCUUGGUUUGGGAUCAUCAAUAUGGCUAAUGAACCUCUCUAUUUAUAAGAGAGUUCAAGGACAUAAUUGUCCAAAACUUUGGCAAAGAUUUGUGGUUGAAAAUGGACACCAACAACCAUCCACUAAUCCACUACCACCAACAACCCACUACCAAUUUUAAGCCAUUUCUUAACAAAUCUCCACCUUGGCUUGAAAUUUACCAAGCUGAACAUCAUAGUGAACUGGAUCACCUCUUCCAAACGCCUCUCUGGCGCUAAUCAAUCCCGAAUACCUAUCAAGUCCAAGCAAUGCUUGAACUUAUAUGCAGGGAUCACCUUAGUUAACAUAUCUGCAGGAUUCUUCUCGGUAGCAACCUUGCUGAUAACAAUGUCACCUUGCGUAACAUGUUCCCGAACAAAAUGAUAUCUGACAUCAAUGUGUUUGGUCCGUUCAUGAAACAUCUGAUUUUUAGUCAGAUGUAUGGCACUCUGGCUAUCGCAAAAUACAACAGUGAAAUCCUGUUGUAAACCCAAACUGCUUACUAGACCUUUCAUCCACAAUGCUUCUUUCACUGCUUCUGCUAACGCCAUAUAUUCCGCCUCAGUCGUAGAUAAGGCUACGGUAGACUGUAACACAGCUUUCCAACUAAUGGCUCCUCCAGAAUAAGUGAAAACAUAACCCGUCAGAGAUCUUCUUUUGUCCAGAUCUCCAGCAUAAUCAGAGUCCGCAUAGCCCGUGACACUGCUAGUGCAGUCACUCUGAUCAUAUACCAAGCAUAAAUCUGCAGAACCUCUCAAGUACCUGAGAAUCCAUUUCACGGCCUGCCAGUGUUCCUUGCCAGGACAACUCAUGUAUCUGCUGACCACACUAACUGCAUGUGAAAUGUCUGGACGAGUGCAAACCAUUGCAUACAUCACGCUUCCAACUGCACUCGAGUAUGGAAUGUGAGACAUUUGCUGCUUUUCUUCAUCAGAUUGUGGUGACAACUCUGCAGAGAGUUUGAAAUGUGGUGCCAACGGAGUACUCACAGUUUUCGCUUUAUCCAUGCCGAAGCGUUGAAGAACCUUUUCAAUGUAGUUCUUCUGCGACACACGAAGCUUGCCCGCCUUGCGAUCUCUGUGAAUAUCCAUGCCCAAAAUUUUCUUGGCAGCACCCAGAUCCUUCAUCUCGAACUCACCACUCAACUGCGACUUUAACUUGUUGAUUUCCGACAUGUUUUUGGAAGCAAUUAACAUGUCAUCAACAUACAGCAACAAAUAAAUGUGCGAACCAUCUGAGAGCUUCCGAUGAUAGACACAAGCAUCAUAGUCACAUCUUGUGUAACCAUGCUGAAUCAUGAAGCUAUCAAACCGCUUGUACCACUGCCUUGGGGAUUGUUUCAAUCCAUAUAAAGACUUCUUUAAUAGACAGACAUGGUCUUCUUUACCAGGAACUGUAAAACCCUCUGGUUGACGCAUGUAGAUUGUUUCCUCGAGCUCACCAUGCAAGAACGCCGUUUUUACGUCAAGCUGCUCAAGUUCUAGAUCAGACUUGGCCACCAUGGCAAGUAAUACACGAAUGGAAGAAUGCUUUACGACUGGGGAGAAAACUUCAUUGUAGUCAAUCCCCUCUUUCUGAGUGAAGCCUUUAGCAACCAAUCGUGCCUUGAAUCUAGUUGCUUCAACCCCUAGGAUGCCUUCCUUUUUCUUGAAGACCCAUUUGCAACCAACUAUCUUCUGGUUACUUGGCGGCUUAACCAACUCCCAAGUAUGGUUCUUGUGAAGAGAUUCUAUCUCCUCACUCAUAGCAAUUGCCCACUGUGCCGACUCAUCACACGUGACAGCCUCAUUAUAACUGGAAGGUUCUAUACCAAUGGACUCCGCCACACUGAGCGCGAAAGACACCAGAUUAGCGUAACGCGGAUUUGGUUUGAUUUGUCUCUUCGUUCUUCCAGUGGCAAUGCUAUAUGGUUUUUCUUGAGGUGACUCAUCUUCAUCGGAAUCUUGCACCUCAACUUGAUCAUCCUGGACUGAAGUACCUUCCGUAGGAAUUGGAGCGUCCACCUGACACUCCACCUGCUUCUCAACACCGUGAUCUCCCAUUCUAUCUGACUCCUCCUUUUCCCGGGAAUUUGUGGUGGAUCGAAGCAUGGAUGACUCAUCAAAAGUCACAUCUCUGCUGAUGAUGAACUUGGACGAAACCGGAUCAGGACACCACAACCUGUAUCCUUUCACCCCUUGGCCGUAUCCAAGAAAUAUGCAUUUCUUCGCCCUCGGUUUGAGUUUUCCCUCAUUUACAUGAGCAUACGCAGGGCAGCCAAACACUCUUAAACCAGAGUAAUCAGCAGGAGAACCAGACCAUACUUCCUCAGGAGUCUUCAGCUCAAUAGCUGUUGACGGAGAUCUGUUAACCAAAUAACAAGCAGUAUUAACAGCUUCAGCCCAAAAUUCUUCACCGAGCCCAGCAUUUGAUCGCAUGCAACGAGCUCGCUCCAAGAGAGUUCUAUUCAUGCGUUCUGCAACUCCAUUUUGUUGUGGUGUUCGACGAACAGUGCGGUGUCUCACUAUUCCUUCAUUUUUGCAGAACUCAUUGAAUUCACCUGAGCAAAACUCCAAGCCAUUAUCCGUCCGGAAUCGCUUGAUCUUCUUUCCUGUUUGAUUUUCGAUCAAAGCUUUAAAUUGCUUGAAGUUGAUGAGAACCUCAUACUUGCUCUUCAGAAAAUACACCCAAACCUUUCUCGAGUAAUCAUCGAUAAAGGUAAGCAGAUAUCUGUAACCACCUUUAGAAAUUGUCGGAGAAGGCCCCCAAAGGUCAGAAUGGAAGUAAUCCACUGUGCCUUUUGUCUUGUGAAUCCCAGUGCUGAACUUUACCCGAGUCUGCUUACCGAAGACGCAGUGCUCACAGAAAUUCAACUUUCCUGUACACUGCCCAGACAAUAAUCCUCGUUUGCUUAGCACCGAUAAGCCUCUCUCGCUCAUAUGCCCGAGCCGCAUAUGCCAUAACUUCGUGGUGUCAGAAUCUAGAUCAUCUGAUGAUGACACUCCCGCAACACCUGUAACCGAGGAACCAUCGAGGAAGUAAAGGCCCCGCUCCAAAUUACCACGUAUCACAGUCAAAGCACCCGAGAAUACCUUGAGAACUCCACCUUCAGCAGAGUACCGAAAGCCUUUCUUGUCCAACGUACUCAAAGAGAUCAAAUUUUUCUUCAUUUCUGGAAUGUGCCGAACAUCAGUUAGAGUUCUAACAAUACCGUCAAACAUCUUUAUACGAACUGUGCCAAUCCCCAUGACUUGACAUGCGUGGUCAUUUCCCAUUAGUACUGAACCAGAAUGCUUCUCGUAUGUUGAGAAUGCAUCUUUCGAAGUACUUAUAUGAAAUGUAGCUCCCGUAUCAAGAAUCCAUCUCCCACCAGCGUAAGAGUCGGAUACUGCAAGAACGAUCUCGGCAUCACUUGAAGAAUCUGCAUCAGCUACAUUCGCACGAUCAUUUUGUUGCUCCUGUGAUUCUGAUUUCUCCUUCCUUUUCGGACAAUCUACCUUCAUGUGCCCGUACUUCUUACAGUAGUAGCACUGUAUUCUCUUCUUGGACUGCGAUCUAGGAUGGCUUUUACUUGAACUUCCACCCUUUGCCUUGGAUCUUCCUCGAGCAACCAAGCCUUCGCCUUCAUUGUUUUCGACCACCUUACCAGUGAUUUUCUUCCUCAACUCACUGGAACUUAAGGCAUUUUUCACCUCCUCUAGAGUCAGGUCAUCACGACCGUACAUCAUUGUAUCAACAAAAUUCUCAUACGAGGGAGGCAAAGAACACAAAACAAUUAUUGCUUGGUCCUCAUCAUCGAUUUUGUUAUCGAUAUUAUUCAAAUCCAUGAUAAUGGAAUUGAAUUUAUCCAGGUGCUGGGAAACAGGUGUACCUUCCUCCAUCUUCAGGGCAUAGAGUCUUUGCUUGAGGUAGAGCCGGUUCGUCAAUGACUUCGUCAUGUACUUGCUCUCUAACCGGAGCCACAAACCGGACGCGGUUUUCUCAUCCGCUACUUCUCGUAGCACUUCAUCUCCUAGACAUAGCAGAAUAGCACUAUGUGCUCUUUCUAGCAUGUCAUCCUUUUGCUCUUCCGAAAGCGUGCUUGGUAAUUUAUCUUUACCAGACAAUGCUUUUAGCAAUCCUUGUUGAACCAGCACUGCCCGCAUCUUGAUGCGCCAUAAACUGAAACUAUUUUUCCCGGUAAAUUUCUCGACAUCAUACUUAGUCGAUGAAACACUUGUAGCCAUAAUUUGGAACCUUUGAAUGAAUGAUAAUAUUUUCUUCCUGAUGUGAAAGAUCAGACAAAGCUGCAGUCACAGGGCAAUUCAGAAAAUAUUAUCACUCCUUCAACUACGCUCUGAUACCAAUUUGUUGCGGAAAGGAUCGAUUCGAGAACUCCGAUAUGACUACAAGUAAAUUGACCGAAACGAAAAAAUAAAGUGAACACAAGGAUUUACGUGGUUCGGCUUUAAUGCCUACGUCCACGGGCAGAGGCGAAAAGAAAUUUCACUAUAACAAGAUGAAGAUUACAAGUGUUUUACACUCAAGACACAACCCGAGAACCUCACAACUCUCAACCCCUAUAGAAAACCCGAAAGCUAAAAUCCUAGCUUUCAAAGAACAAGCUUUGCUCUCUCUUGGUUUGGGAUCAUCAAUAUGGCUAAUGAACCUCUCUAUUUAUAAGAGAGUUCAAGGACAUAAUUGUCCAAAACUUUGGCAAAGAUUUGUGGUUGAAAAUGGACACCAACAACCAUCCACUAAUCCACUACCACCAACAACCCACUACCAAUUUUAAGCCAUUUCUUAACAGAAUUAAAUCUGAAUAUUACAUAAAAAGAUGACAAUACAUUUUUUCGAUUUAAUAUUCAAGCCAAAUAACAUGCAACUUUGAUAGAGAUAAUGAACAGUAAACCUCAUAAGGGUUCUAAGAAGUCCUUUUAUGCUUGCCUUUCCAGACUACACCGCUUUGGAGCCCAAUAUGGCUCAUUCUCUUUGUCUGCAUAGUCAGCUUUUGUGCUUGCUUGAGUUUUGCGGUUUCAGGUCCUUUUCACUUCUACAAGCAUUAAGAUUGUCUACACUAGAUCACAUUCAUGUAAUUUGGGCUCACAAUGAACCUGGUUUUGUCUGGACUCAUUGCUAUGUGUUUAAGUUAGACUUGGACCUUUCAUUUUUUUUUAUAUGAAAAUUGAUUGCUCGGGAAUUUUGUUAAACCAAACUAUGUCAAUUUUACCUUAAAAAAAACAUGUUAAUUUUGUACACGUCCUUGUACUAUUAUAGUAUGAAAUAUAUUUUUCUUUCAAAUGAGAAAACAAGUAAUAUGAAUUUUUUUUUUGUAAUAAUUGAAUUAAACUGUUAAAUGCGACGGUUCAAAUUAAGCAACAAUGAGUUAGGUAAACUUGUCAUUAUUUAAAUUAAUAUCUAUCAUUUAAUUAAGCCCCCUUAUAAAAUUAUUUUCCUUUACAAUUCUUAUGAAAUCAAAAAAAAAAAAAUUUUUGCAGGACUGAGAUAAAAUUAUAAAAUUUUAGGAAGAUCAAUGUUAUUUUUUUUUGCUUAAAUUAAAUUAUUAAAUUUUUAGAACGGCGAAAAAUUAAAAAUUUUCCAUUAAUCAAAAAGGUUUUAAAAAAAAACUUAAAUGAAAUAAUUGGUCCUUGUAGUCUCAAUUUCUAAGGACCUUUGGGCUGAAUUUAAGAGUACAAGAACCAAAAUGCACUCCUCUCAAUUGAAUAUUAUAAUUGGUUUGAUUUAUUAUUUUUGGUGCAAACAAUCAACACUCAAACAGUCAAUACCGUCCGAUAGAUCACGUGGAAAACCAUCCUAACAUAUGAGAAUAUAUCCAGAAGAAGAAACUUAUCCAAAUCCAACCCACCACAAGUUGUCAACCAGCUCAUCCCAUUGGCCUUUCCACACCUUCGAACUGAUUGGUGCAAUCCGAGCUGGUCCUAUUAUUGGAAAGAGAAUAGAAUCUUAACCGUGGGACCACACUUAAGCCGGCGUCCUAAAUGAUUAGACGCGUGAAAAAACGGUGGGUAUUCUUUCACCCAAUACCAUCACUACAAAUACACAAACCAUGUCUACCCAUACUCUGGGCUAUUUGUGAUAAAACAGGAAAACAAUGAAAAAUAAUAAUAUAAAGAAGAGAAAACAUUCAAAUCUCGUUAAAUUCAUGAACAAAAUUGGUUGUGGGGUUCUCAAUGUUGCUAAGUAAAGACGGAGUUUUUAAUAUUGAUGCGAGAGCUAUUUUAGAAGGGUUAUGUUAGAGAUUGAGAGUAAUAACACUCUUUUGAUGGGAUGAUUGUAGAGGGAGGAGCAGCUAAUAGUUAGUUAAUAGAAUUACAUUCUAUUCAUCGAAUGAUGCGUCGAGAUUGGAAGAUUUGUUUUCGUCAUAUCCCAAGAACUCACAAUACAAUUGCUGAUCAUAUUACUAAGGUUAUGACGAUAAAAUUCACUGAAGUCUUAUUUUGUACAACAUUUAAUAUAAACAGAUUACAUUAGUAUUACAUAGGCUAAUACGUUAUCUUAAUAGUAUCGCGUACAGCUAUUUUAAUUUACCAAAUAAUAAUAAUAAUGGAGCCCAUGCUUUUUGAAUCUUUUCUAUGUCACAGCUAUGGAGAUGGGUCAAGACACAACUAUCCUUUUUUUAGGUCAAAUAAAUCUCAAUUAGUUUUUUAAGCCCUCUGUAUAUAUAUAUUUAUCUAAUAAAAUUUUCCACGUUUCAUAAUGAUCGAAGAAGUGUAAAGCAAAAGUUUAUAAAAAGUUUAUAAUUAAAAAAUAUUCCAUAUCUUCGAGUAUUUAACUGAAAAGUUGAUAUGUUUAUAAAAAUUUAUUUUAUGAUCAAUAUAUAUCAAGAAAAAAAUUUUAAUUUCAAAAAAAUAUUGAUUAAAAAUAUCCACCAAAAUGAUAAGAAUGUACAUAAUUCAAAAUUUUAAACAUCUUAUUUUUAAACUGAUAUUCCUAAGUAAAUUAUAUAUCUUAAAAUAUGUUUUUAAUACUGAUAUUUCUUAAUAAAUUUGUUUCUAAAUUAAAUAUUAUUUUUCUAAAAUUAUCUUAAAAUUUUUGAUACGUGAAAAAAGUUCGACAAAAUAUAGUAAAAUAUUAAAAAAUAAAUAUUAAAAAAAACACAUACCAAUACACAAAAUAUAUUUUAUAACAUGUUAUUUAAAAUAAAUAUUUUAUUUUCUAAAAGUAUUUUUUUUGCCACAAUACUAAAAAUAUAAAUUUUAGAGUAAAAUAUUUGAAAGCUAAGCUGGUCAACUUGCCUUGAAACAAGUGGGGAAAAUGCGUCCAAAUUAUAUUGAAGUGAGAAACAGGGAGUGGGUUUCAAGAUUUUGAAGUCUAUGAUUGGCGGCCAUCGAUUUAUAUCCCUCGUCAAAUCUAUAUUUUAAAAAUGAUUAAAAAUAUUCGAUAUUUAUAUUCAAUAUAAAUCUACCCUUGACGGAGCUUGUUUUAAAUCAGUUGAGGUUUCAAAUAAGGAUAGUCAUUUUGCAACUCUCCUAAUUUCUUCAUCAUUUAAAGAAAGAAACAAAAGCAUGGAUCCAAGCUUGAGAGAAGUAGCUGGAACAGGAGAUACUAAUGCCUUGUACGCUCUAAUUCGAAAGGAUCCGUACAUGUUGGAGCGUAUUGAUCAGAUUCCUUUCAUCGAUACUCCACUUCACAUAGCAGCAAAUGAAGGCCAAAUUAAGUUUGCAAUGGAGAUGAUAAACUUGAAGCCUUCGUUUGGUCGGAAGCUAGACCAAGACGGCUUUAGCCCCAUGCAUUUGGCCUUCAAAAUGGGGCAUACCAAGCUAGUGCUUCGACUGUUGAAGACCGAUAAAGACCUGGUUCGCGUCAGAGGAAGGGAAGGGAUGACCCCUUUCCAUUGUGCAGCUGCAGUGGGGAACUCUAAUCUUUUAUUCCAGUUCCUUGAAACUUGCCCUGAAUGUGUUGAGGAUGUCACGGUUCGUAACGAGACUGCAUUACAUCUUGCUCUGAAAAACAACCACACCGACGCUUUUAAUCUCUUACAUGGAUGGCUUCGAAAGAACCGUCGUGGAGGAGGCAAGGAUUUGGAAAGAAAGGUUGUGAAUUGGAGAGAUGAUGAUGACAACACUGUGUUGCACAUUGCAGCUACAAAGCAACAGCAUCAGGUAUAUAUGCAAUAUAAUGAUAAGUUGCGUUCCUUUGAUCAUUUUAUUAAUGACUAUUUAUAAUAUUCUACGCAGGCAGUACAACUGUUGUUGGAUUCCUUUUAUGGGUUAGAUGCAAACGCUAAGAACUCGGAAGGCUUGACAGCUCGAGAAAUCAUAGAAAGGGUUGAAAGACAGGGGUUGAACAUGAGUGGCGCCGAAGACGAUGAUACCACCACCGCCAAGAUUGAGCGCAUUAAGAAAAGAACCAGUAGGUCUGAAAGAGCAUUAAUAAAGUUGAUUCGUGCAAGGAAUGGGUUGUCGGAGAACAUGCUCAACGCAACACUGGUGGUAGCGGCGCUGGUCAUAACAGCAAUCUACCAGUCAUCUUUAAGCCCACCAAGAGGUCUUUGGCAAGGUGAUAACACUAUCCCCACCAACACCACAAACCUUACUACGACUACUAAAUUUACACUCUUUCACGACAAUUACAGUGAGUAUCGUACUAGAGUUGUGUUCGGUGAACAAACAAAGGAAACUGGUACAGCAGUCAUGAAUCCCAACUUGUUUUUAGCGUUUUGGUUUUUCAAUUUUAUAGCAUUUGGGCUUCCAAUUCUUCUAACCGUUUUGCUUUUAUCCAAUGUACCUAGUAUUCUUCUCAUCCCGCUUUAUUAUCUAUCCGUCUCCUACUUCAACUGCAUGACAAUAAUAUCUCCUUCCACGUUUUGGGCAAACAUCAACUUUGUUGUCAUGUGGACAGCCAUUAUUCUCCCGUUGCUCAUAGUUUUUAGAAGCGUAUGGUUAUCGAAGCGGCCAAAGUACAGGGAAAUCAGACAAUUACGCAGACUUUUCGGCAAUUAGAAUAAUGUUGGAAUCAUUCA